This 497-nucleotide ribosomal RNA is filed under the name uncultured bacterium. Its description in RNAcentral is "partial 16S ribosomal RNA". It matches the Rfam family "Bacterial small subunit ribosomal RNA", at positions 28 to 507 of the family's 1533-position model. The record is from RNAcentral.
GAUGAACGCUGGCGGCGUGCCUAAUACAUGCAAGUCGAGCGAACGGACGAGAAGCUUGCUUUUCUGAUGUUAGCGGCGGACGGGUGAGUAACACGUGGAUAACCUACCUAUAAGACUGGGAUAACUUCGGGAAACCGGAGCUAAUACCGGAUAAUAUUUUGAACCGCAUGGUUCAAAAGUGAAAGACGGUCUUGCUGUCACUUAUAGAUGGAUCCGCGCUGCAUUAGCUAGUCGGUAAGGUAACGGCUUACCAAGGCAACGAUGCAUAGCCGACCUGAGAGGGUGAUCGGCCACACUGGAACUGAGACACGGUCCAGGCUCCUACGGGAGGCAGCAGUAGGGAAUCUUCCGCAAUGGGCGAAAGCCUGACGGAGCAACGCCGCGUGAGUGAUGAAGGUCUUCGGAUCGUAAAACUCUGUUAUUAGGGAAGAACAUAUGUGUAAGUAACUGUGCACAUCUUGACGGUACCUAAUCAGAAAGCCACGGCUAACUACGUG